AAGGCACCUUUUCCCAGGCCUGCCAGACUCAAAGGAUUCCCUCACUUCACACAGCCUUGCAUCAGUUGUGCAAGGCCAGUGGGAGGCUGCUUUGUUGGCCCAGUAGCUCCCAACACUGUCAGACUCAUAUUUCACCUGUGCCAGAGCUGCCUGGUCAGGUAUGAUGCCACGCCAAGCCAAGCUUGAGGAGCUCUACCAGCAAUCAUAUUCCUGUCCAUAAAUCCCAUUUUUCUCUGUGAGUGGCUGCUGCUUUCUCUUUAGCCACUUCCUUACACCACUGCACCCACAUCUUCAUCAGCUACACUAGUAACUCCCCAUGUCACUGAGGGCUUGUCUAAAACUCUUUUUUUUUUUUUUUGGCACAGGAAAACAAGUUGGAAAUACUAGAAAUUCUUGCAUAAAAUCCUACAUUGGUAUAGCAUCAUUCUAAAGGUGUGUCAUGUUAAAAACUUUUAAGAAACAAGAAUGAAAACACCAAGAAAAUCAAGGUGUUCUUUCAAGACUGAUUUGAUUGUCUAAGACACCUGCAGCAAAUCUGUUUUUCUAGGUUAGGUUUCCUUUG
This is a long non-coding RNA of Passer montanus (Eurasian tree sparrow), 562 nucleotides long. RefSeq lists it as uncharacterized. The transcript is spliced from 2 exons. The record is from RefSeq and is a predicted model, not a curated record. Lineage: Eukaryota; Metazoa; Chordata; Aves; Passeriformes; Passeridae.